Molecule: ribosomal RNA, 449 nt
Filed under: uncultured bacterium
Lineage: Bacteria
Description: bacterial SSU rRNA
Rfam family: Bacterial small subunit ribosomal RNA
Source: RNAcentral
UGGGGAAUCUUGGACAAUGGGGGAAACCCUGAUCCAGCGAUACCGCGUGUGUGAAGAAGGCCUUCGGGUUGUAAAGCACUUUAGGUGGGGAAGAAAGGUAGACGAGGAAUAUUUGUCUGCUAUGACGGUACCCGCAAAAUAAGCACCGGCUAACUCUGUGCCAGCAGCCGCGGUAAUACAGAGGGUGCAAGCGUUAAUCAGAAUGACUGGGCGUAAAGGGCGUGUAGGUGGUUGACUAGGUUUGAUGUGAAAUCCCCGGGCUUAACCUGGGAAUGGCGUCGAAAACGGGUUGACUAGAGUGAGAGAGAGGGUUGUGGAAUUUCCGGUGUAGCGGUGAAAUGCGUAGAUAUCGGAAAGAACAUCAGUGGCGAAGGCGACAACCUGGCUCUUAACUGACACUGAGGCGCGAAGGCGUGGGGAGCAAACAGGAUUAGAUACCCCUGUAGUCC